UAGAGGAAGUAAAAGUCGUAACAAGGUUUCCGUAGGUGAACCUGCGGAAGGAUCAUUAAUACAUGUUGAGCGCACUUUAAUGUGACUCUUUGUAUCACCAUUACCACCCAACCCAGAGGUGCAUUGUGGCCUUUAACGAGGUUAGCAGUGUAUCAGUACGUAUCCCAAAGGCAACUUUGAGUUACAUUACCCAUCAUUUACCCCCAUUUACACUUAAUAAGUUUUAAGAAUGAAAACCAUACCUAUAUAACUUUCAGCAAUGGAUCUCUAGGCUCUCACGUCGAUGAAGAACACAGUGAAAUGUGAUACGUAAUGUGAAUUGCAGAAUUCAGUGAAUCAUCGAAUCUUUGAACGCACCUUGCACCUUUUGGUUAUUCCGAAAGGUACACCUGUUUGAGUGUCACGAAACCCCCCUCGGCUCUAAUGCUUUCUAAAAGGAUUUGAGACGGAUUCUGAGUGUUGGCGUGAUAACGCCUCGCUUUAAAUAGAUCAGCACUUUUGGAUGGUUUAAUAUUAGUUCRAAAGACGUACUUGAUGUUGUAUUUAUAUUUCGUUGAGGCAGUCUUUGGUCGUUCCGACUAUCCGCUAAUAUGACGACUUGAAGAAUAGCUUCCUAACCCUAUGAAUUUAACCUUUAGACUUCAAAUCAGGUGGGACUACCCGCUGAACUUAAGCAUAUCAAUAAGCGGAGGAAAAGAAAAUAACUAUGAUUCCCUUAGUAACGGCGAGUGAACAGGGAGAAGCCCAAAUUUGUANUCUGGCACUUUUUACGAGUGUCCGAGUUGUAAUUUGUAGAACUGUUAUCCGUGCUGGACCAUGUACA
RNAcentral lists this ribosomal RNA (823 nucleotides) under Melampsora magnusiana. RNAcentral's name for it is "eukaryotic LSU rRNA". The stretch from base 249 to 403 matches the Rfam family "5.8S ribosomal RNA". Lineage: Eukaryota; Fungi; Basidiomycota; Pucciniomycetes; Pucciniales; Melampsoraceae. The record is from RNAcentral.